GUUACUCUGCAGUGCUGAUAGAAUGGCGUACAGUGAGGAGAAGUUUUUCCUGGUUCUGCAGGCCUGUUUGGGAAACAAACACACACGCAUAUGUAAAGGUAACGUUUGUGAGUGGUAUGAUCACACUCACUGUCUCAAUCCUGGUCAGCUGUUCUGCGAUCACACUGGAUGGAAACCCCAGGAUGCUGGUGGCAUCAAACUCCGAGGGAUCAGGAGGAGAUGUCACGCCUUUGGUGGUUUUACAGUGAGACUGACAAGCUUGUGAUGCUGCAAGUGACACAAUGACCUGCACUGUCUGUCACAAACGCUUGUCAAAGAGCCAAAAUCCUGACCUGA
Molecule: non-coding RNA, 336 nt
Organism: Pimephales promelas (fathead minnow)
Lineage: Eukaryota; Metazoa; Chordata; Actinopteri; Cypriniformes; Leuciscidae
Source: RefSeq, a predicted model, not a curated record